CAGUCGCCGCGGGAAUACGGAGGAUCCAAGCGUUAUCCGGAAUCAUUGGGUUUAAAGGGUCCGUAGGCGGUCUUGUAAGUCAGUGGUGAAAGCCCAUCGCUCAACGGUGGAACGGCCAUUGAUACUGCAGGACUUGAAUUAUUGGGAAGUAACUAGAAUAUGUAGUGUAGCGGUGAAAUGCUUAGAGAUUACAUGGAAUACCAAUUGCGAAGGCAGGUUACUACCAAUUGAUUGACGCUGAUGGACGAAAGCGUGGGUAGCGAACAGGAUUAGAGACCCGCGUAGUCCCUGUCUCUUAUAU
This 301-nucleotide ribosomal RNA is filed under the name uncultured bacterium. Its description in RNAcentral is "partial 16S ribosomal RNA". It matches the Rfam family "Bacterial small subunit ribosomal RNA", at positions 509 to 809 of the family's 1533-position model. The record is from RNAcentral.